UUGUGACUAAAUUACUCGGUGACCGGCGAAGUUAAAUCCAAAGGCGACUUUGGUAAUCGUAUAAUUUUCCACAACGAAAUUAUGACGAUUUUCGGCGACUUUACAGGUCGUCGUAAUAGCGAAUUUGACCAGUGAAAAUAAACAGCGAACCUUAUCAGCGAAAUUGAGCUUUUCAGUGAACUUUGAUCAGCGAAAUUGAACCUAUAACAGUCUAGCGAAUUUAGGUGACUUAUCAGCGAAAUUAUCAGCAAAUUUAAAGUGGUGGAAUUUCAGUUGGCAAGCGUCGGGAAAUUUUCAGUGUUUUGCAAAUAGAAUUUGAUCCGUAACUCGUUUGACAGAACCGUUUGCGCCGUUAGAUUCCCUGGAAAAUCCCGAAUUCGGUUUUUGACAUUAUGUAUCAUUGGAUUCGUCUUUUCGAGACGAUUCUAACGGUUUUACAACGUUAAAAUGUCGAACAUGUCUACUUUGAAUGAGCUGUUGAAGAUGGAGCAUGAGGUUGGCACUACCAACAAACCACCUAAGAUGAUGAAGGUGGAAAAUUAUCUGACAUGGAAGGAUCGUUUUCAGUCCUUCAUUG
This 577-nucleotide long non-coding RNA is filed under the name Helianthus annuus (common sunflower). Its description in RNAcentral is "hypothetical non coding rna". Lineage: Eukaryota; Viridiplantae; Streptophyta; Magnoliopsida; Asterales; Asteraceae. The record is from RNAcentral.